This 944-nucleotide ribosomal RNA is filed under the name uncultured Bacillota bacterium. RNAcentral describes it as "bacterial SSU rRNA". It matches the Rfam family "Bacterial small subunit ribosomal RNA", at positions 1 to 917 of the family's 1533-position model. The record is from RNAcentral. Lineage: Bacteria; Bacillati; Bacillota.
UGGAUCCAGACUUUGAUCAUGGCUCAGGACGAACGCUGGCGGCGUGCUUAACACAUGCAAGUCGUACGAGACGAUUGAAAGCUUGCUUUUGAAAGUCGAGUGGCAAACGGGUGAGUAACGCGUAGACAACCUGCCGUAAAGAUGGGGACAACAGUUCGAAAGGACUGCUAAUACCGAAUGUUGUAGAGUUUUCGCAUGGGAAUCCUACUAAAGGUGGCCUCUACUUGUAAGCUAUCGCUUUACGAUGGGUCUGCGUCUGAUUAGCUAGUUGGUGGGGUAACGGCCUACCAAGGCGACGAUCAGUAGCCGGUCUGAGAGGAUGAACGGCCACAUUGGAACUGAGACACGGUCCAGACUCCUACGGGAGGCAGCAGUGGGGAAUCUUCCGCAAUGGGCGCAAGCCUGACGGAGCAACGCCGCGUGAGUGAAGAAGGGUUUCGACUCGUAAAGCUCUGUUGUCGGGGACGAAUGUCAGGACUCAAAAUAUGGGUUCUGAAUGACGGUACCUGACGAGGAAGCCACGGCUAACUACGUGCCAGCAGCCGCGGUAAUACGUAGGUGGCGGGCGUUGUCCGGAAUUAUUGGGCGUAAAGGGAGCGCAGGCGGGAAGGUAAGUCUAUCUUAAAAGUGCGGGGCUCAACCCCGUGAGGGGAUGGAAACUAUCUUUCUUGAGUGCAGGAGAGGAAAGCGGAAUUCCUAGUGUAGCGGUGAAAUGCGUAGAUAUUAGGAGGAACACCAGUGGCGAAGGCGGCUUUCUGGACUGUAACUGACGCUGAGGCUCGAAAGCGUGGGGAGCGAACAGGAUUAGAUACCCUGGUAGUCCACGCCGUAAACGAUGAAUGCUAGGUGUAGGAGGUAUCGACCCCUUCUGUGCCGGAGUUAACGCAAUAGCAUUCCGCCUGGGGAGUACGGCCGCAAGGCUGCAACUCAAAUGAAUUGACGGA